RNAcentral lists this ribosomal RNA (829 nucleotides) under uncultured Glomus. RNAcentral's name for it is "SSU rRNA". It matches the Rfam family "Eukaryotic small subunit ribosomal RNA", at positions 314 to 1116 of the family's 1831-position model. The record is from RNAcentral. Lineage: Eukaryota; Fungi; Glomeromycota; Glomeromycetes; Glomerales; Glomeraceae.
AUCAACUUUCGAUUGGUAGGAUAGAGGCCUACCAUGGUGGUAACGGGUAACGGGGUGUUAGGGCACGACACCGGAGAGGGAGCCUGAGAAACGGCUACCACAUCCAAGGAUGGCAGCAGGCGCGCGAAUUACCCAAUCCCGACACGGGGAGGUAGUGACAAUAAAUAACAAUACGGGGUUCUUUCGGAUUUCGUAAUUGGAAUGAGUACAAUUUAAAUCUCUUAACGAGGAACAAUUGGAGGGCAAGUCUGGUGCCAGCAGCCGCGGUAAUUCCAGCUCCAAUAGCGUAUAUUAAAGUUGCUGCAGUUAAAAAGCUCGUAGUUGAAUUUCGGGACCAAUAUGUCGGUCGUGCCUCGGUACGUACUGGCAUCGUUGGUUUCUCCCUUCUGACGAACCAUGAUGUCAUUCAUUUGGUGUCGUGGGGAAUCAGGACUGUUACUUUGAAAAAAUUAGAGUGUUUAAAGCAGGCUCACGCUUGAAUACAUUAGCAUGGAAUAAUGAAAUAGGACGUUUGAUUCUAUUUUGUUGGUUUCUAGGAUCGACGUAAUGAUUAAUAGGGAUAGUUGGGGGCAUUAGUAUUCAAUUGUCAGAGGUGAAAUUCUUGGAUUUAUUGAAGACUAACUACUGCGAAAGCAUUUGCCAAGGAUGUUUUCAUUAAUCAAGAACGAAAGUUAGGGGAUCGAAGACGAUCAGAUACCGUCGUAGUCUUAACCAUAAACUAUGCCGACUAGGGAUCGGAUGAUGUUAAUUUUUUAAUGACUCAUUCGGCGCCCUACGGGAAACCAAAGUGUUUGGGUUCAAUCCCGCGGCCAUGGCGCCGGAGCAUGCG